This 445-nucleotide ribosomal RNA is filed under the name uncultured soil bacterium. RNAcentral describes it as "bacterial SSU rRNA". It matches the Rfam family "Bacterial small subunit ribosomal RNA", at positions 26 to 518 of the family's 1533-position model. The record is from RNAcentral.
AGAACGAACGCUGGCGGCAUGCCUAAUACAUGCAAGUCGAACGAACUCUUCGGAGUUAGUGGCGCACGGGUGCGUAACGCGUGGGAAUCUGCCCUUGGGUUCGGAAUAACAGUUGGAAACGACUGCUAAUACCGGAUGAUGACGAAAGUCCAAAGAUUUAUCGCCCAGGGAUGAGCCCGCGUAGGAUUAGCUAGUUGGUGAGGUAAAGGCUCACCAAGGCGACGAUCCUUAGCUGGUCUGAGAGGAUGAUCAGCCACACUGGGACUGAGACACGGCCCAGACUCCUACGGGAGGCAGCAGUAGGGAAUAUUGGACAAUGGGCGAAAGCCUGAUCCAGCAAUGCCGCGUGAGUGAUGAAGGCCUUAGGGUUGUAAAGCUCUUUUACCCGAGAUGAUAAUGACAGUAUCGGAGAAUAAGCCCCGGCUAACUCCGCGCCAGCAGCCGC